RNAcentral lists this ribosomal RNA (464 nucleotides) under uncultured bacterium. RNAcentral's name for it is "partial 16S ribosomal RNA". It matches the Rfam family "Bacterial small subunit ribosomal RNA", at positions 28 to 507 of the family's 1533-position model. The record is from RNAcentral.
GACGAACGCUGGCGGCGUGCUUAACACAUGCAAGUCGAACGGAAAGGCCCGGCUUGCAGGGUACUCGAGUGGCGAACGGGGGAGUAACACGUGGGGGAUCGGCCCUGCACUUCGGGAGAAGUCUGGGAAACGGGGUCUAAUACCGGAUAGGAGCCAUUUUGAGUGUGAUGGGGGGAAAGUUGUUUCGGUGUGGGAUGAGCUCGCGCCCUAUCAGCUUGUUGGUGGGGUAAGGGCCUACCAAGGCGGGGCGGGGUGGCCGGCCUGAGAGGGUGGACGGCCAAGUCGGACUUGGACUAGGACCCGGCCCCCACCGGGAGGGGGGGCAGGGGUGUGUUACACAUGGGCGUAAGCCUGAUGCAGCGACGCCGCGUCGGUGAUGACGGCCUUCGGGUUGUAAUCGCCUUUCGCUAGGGACGAAGCUUUUUGUGACGGUACCUAGAUAAGAAGCACCGGCUAACUCCGUG